AGCAGCCGCGGUAAUUCCAGCUCCAAUAGCGUAUAUUAAAGUUGUUGCAGUUAAAAGCUCGUAGUUGAAUUUCGGGAUCAAUACGUCGGUCGUGCUUCGGUACGUACUGGCGUAAUUGAUUUCUCCCUUCUGACGAACCAUGAUGUCAUUAACUUGGUGUCAUGGGAAAUCAGGACUGUUACUUUGAAAAAAAUUAGAGUGUUUAAAGCAGGCUCACGCUUGAAUACAUUAGCAUGGAAUAAUGAAAUAGGACGUUCGAUCCUAUUUUGUUGGUUUUUAGGAUCAACGUAAUGAUUAAUAGGGAUAGUUGGGGGCAUUAGUAUUCAAUUGUCAGAGGUGAAAUUCUUGGAUUUAUUGAAGACUAACUACUGCGAAAGCAUUUGCCAAGGAUGUUUUCAUUAAUCAAGAACGAAAGUUAGGGGAUCGAAGACGAUCAGAUACCGUCGUAGUCUUAACCAUAAACUAUGCCGACUAGGGAUCGGAUGAUGUUAAUUUUUUAAUGACUCAUUCGGCGCCUUAC
Molecule: unclassified non-coding RNA, 520 nt
Filed under: uncultured Glomus
Lineage: Eukaryota; Fungi; Glomeromycota; Glomeromycetes; Glomerales; Glomeraceae
Description: SSU rRNA
Rfam family: Eukaryotic small subunit ribosomal RNA
Source: RNAcentral